RNAcentral lists this unclassified non-coding RNA (197 nucleotides) under plant metagenome. Its description in RNAcentral is "partial contains small subunit ribosomal RNA, internal transcribed spacer 1, and 5.8S ribosomal RNA". The record is from RNAcentral.
UCUCCGUUGGCGAACCAGCGGAGGGAUCAUUACCGAGUGCGAACUCAUAACCCUUUGUGAACCUAUAUCUGUUGCCUCGGCGGCUCGCUCUCGGGCGAGCCCGCCGGUAAUAUCAGUAUCUCUGUUUGAACCCGACGAUACUUCCGAGUGUUCUUAGCGAACAGUUAAAACUUUUAACAACGGAUCUCUUGGCUCUA